Molecule: ribosomal RNA, 250 nt
Filed under: uncultured bacterium
Lineage: Bacteria
Description: partial 16S ribosomal RNA
Rfam family: Bacterial small subunit ribosomal RNA
Source: RNAcentral
UACGAAGGAUCCAAGCGUUAUCCGGAUUCAUUGGGUUUAAAGGGUGCGUAGGCGGUUUUGUAAGUCAGUGGUGAAAUCUCUCAGCUUAACUGAGAAACUGCCAUUGAUACUGCAGAACUAGAGUACAGAUGACGUUGGCGGAAUGUGUCAUGUAGCGGUGAAAUGCAUAGAUAUGACACAGAACACCGAUUGCGAAGGCAGCUGACGAAACUGCAACUGACGCUGAUGCACGAAAGUGCGGGGAUCAAAC